This 15064-nucleotide long non-coding RNA is filed under the name Citrus sinensis (sweet orange). RNAcentral describes it as "long non-coding RNA (CSIN_LNC001830)". The record is from RNAcentral. Lineage: Eukaryota; Viridiplantae; Streptophyta; Magnoliopsida; Sapindales; Rutaceae.
AUAAAAAAAUUAAAAGAAAAGCGGAUAGUGAAUGAUAUAUAACAUAACAACAAAAGGAAUAGCUUAAUAUAUACUGAUAAUAAUCAUAAGUCUCCAAAAUAACAAACAUAAAUCAAAUCAUAUCAUCACAUCUCCGUGAGCUACAAAGCAUAACUGAUAACUCUCUCUCAUUAUAAAAUUUAUAUGUAAUAAGACUCACUCCCUAAAAGACUAAAAACCCAGUGGAUCCGCCGCUACUAAGCCCACAUAACGUCUAAACAACGCAAAAAAAGAAAAAAAAAUGAAGAAACCACUCUACACACCCAAUAAGCUAGUGACACGUAAUCAGAUAGAGAACCGGCCUCUUAAACCCUGAGAACUGAGCCGAACACCAGAGCGGAAAGGAGAGCGACACCAGCGGCGGCUAAGGAAGGCGAGAUCGAGCCGGCUCCGGAAGCGGGAGCUGGAGCGGGAGAGAGAUCUUGAGCCGACCCUGCGAGAACCAAGGCGGCCAGGACAACGGCCAUCAUCAGCGUAGCCAUUGAAGCCUUUGAGAAUGCCAUUAUUGAAGCCUUUUUUUCUCAGGGUUUUUGAGAGCGUAACCGAAGGAAGCUGAGAGAGAUUCUUUUUCCUGUGUCUGUAUGUGGGAAGUGUUAGUAUUUAAGACAUGAGAAGAAAAUAGUGAGGUUUAUUUAUAGACUGAAAAGUGUGGACGGGAAGAGAGAAUUUCGGGCAGCGGCCCGGAUUUUUCCAGUCUGUCUAUUGGUUUCUUGACAGCUAUGUUUAUUUGUGGGGCCCAGUUAAUUAUAAUUUCACGCGACCGUUUAGGGUAUCGAACGGCGAAGCGACGUCGUGUCGGUUCACGAGUGUGACUUACGCCGAGGAAAUAAUUGAUUCUUUGGGAUUGGGAAAAAUUUGAGCAAAGUAAAAUUACGGAAACAGCAGCGAAUUAUAAUAUCGCAGUCUGUGAUAAACUUGAUAACUAUCUACUUGAAUUGAUAGGACAUAUAAAAAGAACAUUGUAUUAUUUAAAGGAUUGAAUAAUUUAAUUGAUAAAAAUCUCUUACCGCUAAGUUUGGAGAUCCAUUUGCACUCAAAUUUGGUGGAGGAAAAUUUUGAUUUCAGUUGUGUUAUGUUAUUAACAAAAAUUAUUGUUCAAAAAAUGCCUUUUUGUAGCUGCAAUAAAUGAGAAAAUUUUAAAGUACUUUUUUUUUAUUAUUUAUAUAAAUUGAACGAAAUCUUGGUGUGAUUAUUUUGUAAAUUCUCGAGAACUUUUGGGGUGGGGUGGGGGAUUUUGUGUAUGAAUGUAUGAUGAGUUCAUUGAAGAGGCGAAUGUUUAAUGGUGGGAUUGAUGAUUAGGGAUCAGUGAUGGUGCAGUUGAUUCCGCUACAAAGAUUUUUGUAAGCGCCCACAGACAGCCCACGUGGGAUGCGGUGGCUCGACCAUUAGGAGGAGGACGCGUGGAGACGUGGAAGGGCACGGGCUUUUUUAAUAUUCGAAUUUUGAAUUUGAAUAAUCGGAUGUGGACCUGUGGACAGUAUGAAAUGAUCGUGAAUUUUGUGGGUUUCCAGAACUUUCCGUUUGGCGUGUGCGACUGUGUGUUCAUUGGCAGGCACAUGUAGGAGUGUUACGAAGUUUACGCGUUAAACGUAUGCGGAAAGAAAAUGGUUUAACUUUGGGUAAAUGUUUAAAAAAGGAAAUUUCAAUCAACGCUUCUUCUUCUUCUUCUUUUUUUUUUUUUUAUUCCAUAAAAGAAGAUCUUUAAUUUCUGUAAUUAUAUCAUAAUUGAGUCCAAGAAGAUCUGGCUGCAUUGUUGUAAUUUUAUUUAGUUAACCAUAUAAAUUUGAGUCCCGAAGUUAAAAACUUAAUUUUAAUUUUAACUGCUCUUCCAUCUUCUUUUUGUUUUUGUUUUUGUUUUUAAAUGAUCAUGAAACACCUCUUCUCAUUAAUUAAUGUAGAAAAAAAAAGGUUUCAACCACUCCUACGUAUAUUAGCAUGAUUUCUUUUUUAAAUAUUAUUUGAUUGGUAUCAUUGCAAAGUUAAUUUAGAUUCAGUAGUUUAUUUUGGCUAAAACAUCAUAUAUUUAAGAUGCAUCAUCAGAAAAUUGAUUUAGAGUCACCUAAUUUUGAGCUCAAAUAUUAUAUAUUUGCACUCACAAUCAUAUAAUUGGUUUAGAUUUAAUCUGUUUUAAGCUCAAAUAUGUAGCUAUCACAUAAAUAAUUUAGAAUGUUACAAUAUUCUAAGGGCGUGGUCGGGUUAAUUAUAGUGCAGUUGUAGCCUCUACCAAAAUCCGGGUUCGAUUCUUAGAGAUCAAGAUUAUGUUUAGGCUCGCCCACCUCCUCUUACUUUAAAAAAAAAAAAUUUAGAAGGUUACUAAUAUUUUUUUAAUUAUAAAUAUCAAUAUAUAUUGUAAUGUAAUAUUCUUUUUUUUUUUAAAAAAAAAAGGUCAGGUAGAAUUGAUCUCCCUCAUACCAAAUUUUGUAAAAAAUAAUUUAGGUUAUGCCGAUUCAUAAGAUGAGGGGUUCAUAUAGUUUAGUUCAGUUGAUAAUUUUUUUUUUUUGGUUGAAAAAAGAGAUAUGAGAUUUAAAAUCAGUUUAGGUGAGCAAGGACGGUUUUGGGUUGUCACCGAGCUAAAUUAAAAAGGAUUAAUGAGAUGAGACGAGUGGUUUGUUAAAAAGAAUAGUGCCACAUAUUAUAAAGUUUGUGUCAAAAAAAUUCAUCCUAUAAAAGAAGAGACACUCCUAAUAGGCAUGAAAAAAAAUACAAUAAAUCGUUUUAAAACAUAACUGUGACUAGAACAUCCCCUUGUGAAGAUAUAUUUUUUAUUUUUUUAAAAAAAAUUAUUUAAAUAUCUCUAAUGUUCAUGCAACAAAUACGAUGAAUAGUCACAAGGGCAGUCUAGAAAAAGGCAUUUACAAAUACACGGCGGGCCAACAAAGAAUCAUUCACCUUCUAAUCCUUCGAUGUCUGCUUGCAACUCAACUAAACUAACAGCAUUCCAAAAUCAGCAAGAAAACGAUUUAAGAACUUAUUUUGGAAUGCUAUUAGUUUUUAAGGAUUAAUGAGAUGAGAUGAGUGGUUUAUUAAAAAGAGUAGUACCACCUACUGUAAAGUUUAUGUCAAAAAAAUCCAUCCAAUAAAAGAAGAGACACUCGUAAUAUGCAUUAAAAAAAAACACACAAUAAAUCAUUUUAAAACAUAACGUGAAUCAAACAUCACCUUAUGAAGAUAUAUAUAUUUAAAUAUCUCAAAUGUUCAUGCAACAAAUGCGAUGAAUAGUCACGAGGGCGGUCGAGAAAAUGCGUUGACAAUUACACGACCGGCCAACAAAAAAAUCAUUCACCUUCUAAUCCUUCAGUGUCUGCUUGCAACUCAACUAAACUGAUAGCAAUUAGCAUACCAAAAUAAGCCAAAAAAAAAAAAAAAAAAGAUUUAAGAAUCUUAUUAUUUUACUCGUUAAUAUUGCUAAGCAUAUGGCAGCCCUGGGCGGCUGUGGAGUGCAGCCUGGCGUUGGAUUUGCUCACAGACAGGACCUGUAAGGCUGAAACAACACGGCAGCAACAAAGAAAGUAGUUUUAUUUACGUAAUACAAUUUUUUAUACCUUUAUUUUUUAUCUGCAUGAUUUAGUUCUUACACAGACGUGCUAACGAGAAUCAUCCAGUAGCUGGUGUCACUUGUCAACUACUCCUUAACUUAAAGAGCAUAUUUGGGAUUGUCAAGUAUUCCCAAAUUAGUGAUUAUUUGAGAAUUUGUUAUCACAUAUGGUUGGUUCGAGUUAUUCUCUCAGACAUAUCACACCAAUAAUCAUCAAAUAAGUGAGAAUCAAACAAAAUUUGAAAGCAAAUUCUCAAGUAAUUGGUUAGAUUGUAUGAAAAUUUGACUUGUGAAUAUCAAGUAACCUCAGAAUUAGAAUGACUGUAAUGUAUACAUUGGCAUUUACUAUUUACUAAUCACCAAUCAUAGCUUUCUAUUUGGCUCAAUGGCUGAGUGCAAAUCCAGAUGAGCAUGAAAUUCAAAUCAACUCAAAAACCGUUAGAGAAAACAAAAUAUCUUUGAAGUAGUUAUCACUUCAUUAUUAUCAGUAGGAUGAAAAUGAUCGAAGUUAAAAACGUCCAAAAUUAUUAAAUUCAUUUAUCUAACCUGAAUAAUGGACACAUAUACCACGUUGGCUGUCAUUCCUCUGUACAUACAAGAAUCUCACUGUAUCAUCAAAGAGGCUAAUCCUAUGUAACAGUCCUCUCAAUUCGUAUUAUGCAACACGUCUAUCCGAAAAGCUCCUAAUCAUCUUUCUUCCUCGGCUAUUACCAUUCAUUCAAAAGUCAACUCAAAAGGUAGACAAAUUUAUUUGUUAAAAGCCCAAAACUUUAGAUGAUAUAUUCAUCAGAGGUUGUAAAGCACUCGGUGCAAAUUUUCUUCCAAAGAGAAAGCAAACUGUAGAGGGCUGGUUAUUGUAUUUGCAAUGCUGACCUCCAUAAACUUUCUUGAAAAACUCCUCUGUUAUGUCGGCUCUUCCGAAUGUGGCUGGAUGAGCACCACCUCUCGACCAAUCAACCCAAGUGCUGCUUCUAUUUGCCAAGAGAUUUGGCAUUUGAAUAGAUAGCAUGGUGGGAAAAUAGUGUUCGUCCACAUAACAAGGUGGUCUACAGAAUUCCGCGAAUUUUGGAUAAUAUGUAGUAUCUUCCACAAUGUUGACUGCAAGCCUUCGGUUGAUUUCAAACCAUUGGGAUCCUUUGCGCCACUGGGUAAUGUUCACCACAGGUGCCAUGUUCGCAUUGUAGCGUCCUCUCCCAUAUGGUCCAGGGUCAUCAAAUGAACCCAUGAAACUAUGUUUGGAUUUCUUUAUGUAAUGGUAGAUGAGGGAGAAAUUAUAAAGAGGAAUGCAAGACUCAGAGACAAGAAUGAACCAUUCAUUGGAGAUAUCAAGCAAUGCAUUAGCAAGGAGUCUUCUCUCAGCAUCGCACAUGCUCAUUUUUCCCCAUUCAGAGAUCUGCAAAGGGAAGAUACAGAAGACAUUACAAUCUCCUCUAAAUUUUGGGAAAUAUUGUAUUCAAAGCUAUGUGCUAAAGUAAAUAGAAUAAGCAGAUAAAGCAUAACCAUCAAAGGCUUUCAGAAGAAUGCAAGACAGUUCCACUACCAAACACUUCACCUAGAACAUGUAAUGAUAACAUUUGGUAAAGGUAAUCAUAAAACCUGUUAUUUUCCAGGAUCAAAGGGUAUCAAGUAUCAAUUUUACAUUUGGGACAGGAUUAUGGUAGCUGCUUGUUGUUGAAAUGGCACUGUAGCAGAGCUAACCAAAUCAGAUCUCCAUUUCUUGGAGGAUUUGUAUCCUGUUCCAGUUACUACAAGGGGGCAACUCAAGAACAUACAUGUCUUCCUACUUGUCCAAUACAAAAACGUAGGGAGAAAAAAAAAAUCAAAUAAAACGCACUUCGUCGAGCCAAUAUACAUACAGACAGCUCAACCCUCCCCCUUGGUGUUUUGGGAUCCAAAAUUUUUCACCUCCACACGAUAUAUGGCAGUGGUUACCAGCCUUAGAUAAACUUACACUGUUGCAGUUCCCAACUUUCAAAAUUCAACCCAAAAAAUGACCGACUCUUAUUGUUGAUCAUUCACUCAAACCCAGUUUUGCUGGUGAAAGUUAUAAUGUAUGCCAUCAAAUUAAUUAGAAAAUGUUUGCCAAGUAACAUUCAAGAAUGCCACCAUGUCAUCUAUGGAUUGUCCGCUCCUGCUAGAUUCCUCGCAAUUUCUCAUGGACUCCAAUAAUCCGUAAGGCAAUCAGGGGAAAAAAAAAGGAGCAAAAUUUUAACUUGGCUAAGCAAAAACAGAAUAUAUUUAGUUUAUAAACAGAAUCUGUUAAUCAGCAUAUUCCUAUUCAACAGAGUAUUUCUAGACUUUGAUCGUGAAUCACCAUGCAUAUAAAAGUGAUGAUGCUAAAUGGGAACACUACUUUCUACUUUCAAACACCAAGAGCCUACAGAUGACUGAGAGGUCCUAAGAACUGAAGAUUGUUAAACAAAAUUCGGAAAGCUAUGCAAGCAUGCUAACACUAUAUAGAUCCUCAAAAGAAUAAUUCACAUUAUAGGUAAAAAAUAAAGUACUGCUCAUCAUCACUCAAGAGAAGAAGAUCAUAACUUACAUCGUCAUAUAAUCAAUAGUACAACAAAGAUGAUCAGAUGAAGUUUCCACCAGAAUUUUAAAUGAAUAAAUAAAACCUGCAAUAGAUAGAUAUAAUGUCAGGCAUACCUGACUUGGGAUUUGUCUGUUGUAAAAAACUGAUGAAGAUGGAAACUUGUUCUCGAAUGUUGGCAGAGAAUGAACAUAGAUAGAAUAUAGCCCUUCAUGCCCCUUGAAAAACUUCUCCCAAAGAGGUCCAAGAGGUAAUGGCCCCUUCGUCAAGAACAUAAAUGCAAUCUUUGGAACUCUCUUAAAGGGAUACUCCUUCACUCGAGGCACAAAUGAGGCCCUCCAAAAAAGCUCCUUAUCACUCAUUGUGUGCAUUAAAUUUGAUGGAGGAUUUAUCCAAUAAUCCAAACCAUUCGGUAGUUCAGGGCAUGCCACAAAACUGGACUUAACCGUUGUCACAACACUCUGGACUCCAAACCGACGAACUGAGUAUAUACUAAUCAACGAAAAGGCUAUACACAGAGCCAGAAACAAACCAAAUAACUGAAAUAAUCUCAGUGGCAAGGCCCUAAAUUGAUUUGUCUUGUUAACAACUGCAGGGUCUUUGCCUUCCUCUAGCGGAACAACCCUUGCUUGCAUCUUUAUAACUCUAAAUCAAAUCAAAAUUUCACCUUCUGCGUCAGAUCCAAAUCAACAUCCUAGCAUCAAAAGCACUACUAAGCCUCAAAAUACCAGCUAAUUUAUUCACCAGAGCUAGCAAAAAAAACAGCUUUUUUUAAAUAUUUGAAAUUUGUGGAAUUCAAUAUGUUUCAGCAAAACAACCCCACUUAGCAACAGUAACGAAAUUAGAUCUAGAGCUGACACUACAGUACUCAAAAAGCAAGUAUUAACAGAUAUAGCACAAUCAUCAGCUUUCACAGCACAUGGGUUUCUUGAAUAAGAAGCUCUUAGCAAAAAUCAAAAGUCCAGAUCGGACUACUUGAUAGUCUAUAGAUCAAACGAAACCAUUAACGUGAUUGGUGGGGUGAUGAAAAACAGUACACGAUGGUGAACGUUCAACAUACCAUGUAAAUUUGUUGGGGCUAUAUGAGGAAACAAAGUUUGAAGCUUUAGCUCGAAUUGCGCCACCAAAGAAGAGAAACAGAACGGUCAAAUAAAUGAACAAAGUUAGGCAAAGAAAAUAAGAGGAGAAAAAGAGAAAAGUCCUUGGGACGCCCAAAGAGAGAGAGAAAAGGAGGUCCAAGAAAGUGGGGAAUCAAGGAAAUUUUGAGUGUGUGUGUAUGUAUGUAUAUAUAUAUAUAUAUAUAUAUAUAUAUAUAUAUAUAUAUAUAUAUAUAUAUAUAUAUAUGGGACUUUGAAUUUGAGGAAAUCACAGAAUUGUAAUUAGGUGAAUUGUGAAAUGUGGAGAAUUCAAAGAAUGUUUUUUGAUUUAACACGUACAGUGGAAGUGUCUGCUUCGUCUUUUGUGGGUUAGCCGUCACCAUGUGAGAGGCGGUUUUUGCAAGGUAAUAAUACGGCAAUGUCUUGCUGUCAUUUUGUAACGUUUUGGAAAACAAAUUUACCCUGAUUCAUUUGCCUUGAUAGAUCCUUUUUUUUUUUUAACCUUUUUUUUUAUAACUUGAAAUAGAAUGAAAUUAGUCAAAAUUUAAAUUUGAAUGAUAUGUAAAUUUUUUUAAAAUUUUUAAAAAUAAAUAUUAAAUUAUUUGUUUUUUAAUUUUAAAAAACUGACAGCCUAUACUUUUACAUUUUUACCCUUACUAAAUUUAAAUGUUGAAUAAAUAAUAUAUUUUUAAAAGAACUUAAAUAUGAUAAUAACAUUAUCUUUUUUUUUAAAAAAGGAUAAUAACAUUAUCUAAAUCAUCUUCAAGUAAAUGAUUUAUGAAAUCAUUCACUUGGCAUAGGGUUGUUCUAACUUAACCAAUGUUUUUUAUUCGAAUCUUGAAAAUGCAGUUGCGUUAAAUACUUAUUGGAAGAGCUUUGACGCCCUAGUGGUCUUACCCAGCUCGAAUUUGAAUUAGUCGAGACCUAAUGUAGUUUCGGAUACCAAAUAGUUUAAUACACGAAAAAAAAAAUUUAUAAAAUUAUAAUAUAAAAAGUUCUUUAAAAUUAUCACAAGUUCACAAUGCUAGUGCGUAAUAUAAGAAAAAACUAACAAGAUACUUGGGAAGUAAAAAAAAAGAAAGAAAAAACUGAACAAAAAUUCUACAAGAAAAGACUGUCAAUGGAAUCAAUUAUGGACUAUCAAAGGCCAUAAAGGAGAUUCAAGAAAUCCUUCGCGUGAAUGUUGUGUCUCAUCAUGAAAAGUAUCUUGCCUUGCCAUCUAUGGUAGGGAAAAACAAAAGACAAUUCUUCAAGUCGAUCAAGCUUCGAGUGCUCAACAAAUUAAAAGGAUGGAAGGCCAGGCUCUUCUCAAGCGGUGGGAAGGAAGUAUUGUUAAAGGCUGUCAUUCAAGCCACUCCUGUUUAUGCUAUGGGCGUUUUCAAGUUGCCAAAAUGCUUAUGCGAGGACCUACAGCGUUGCAUCACAAAUUGUUGGUCGGCCAACUAUGAUGACUCUAAAUGCAUUCACUGGCUUUCUUGGAAGAAUCUUUGCAAGCCAAGGAAGGACGGGGGGCAUGAGAUUUAGAUAUUUAGGUCCUGUUUGUGAUUGAAGUAUGCUGUUAAAAAAAAUUAUAGUUAUAUUAUAAAAAUUAAUAAUAUGUAGUAAAUAUAAAUUUUAAAUAAUAAUUUUGACAAAAUUAUUAAAGAUAUAAUAGAUUUUAUAUUAUACAAGUGAAAAAUCAUAUCAAUCUAAUUUUUAACUUAUAGCAGUUAGUAUUUACUGAACACUUUAGUGCUGUAGCUUAACCUCAAUCUCAAACGCGCUCUUAAGUUCCUUUAAUUAAGCGCUCUUGGCCAAGCAAUGUUGGGGAAUACUACAAGCACCUGAGUCUCUUUUGGCCAAAGUUCUUAAAGCUAGGUACUUUUCCAACACAAACUUCCUAAGUAGCAAAAUCAAAAGCGGCUCAUCUUUUGUAUGGAAGAGUACUCUAUGGGGCCGUGAAGCUAUCAACACUGGCUCAAGAUGGAGGGUUGGCGCUGGUAGGAGCAUAUUUAUUUAUAGAGAUAAUUGGAUGCCAAGUCCAUUAUCUUUUAAACCUAUAUCCCUGAAGACAUGCAUUGCCGAGUGAUUCUAAAGUUUCAGACCUGUUAAUAAAUGGUAACGAAUGGAAUGAGCAGCUAAUAAAGUAAUUCUUAAAAGGAGUCCCCUUGCCACGAGUCCCUACUAAUGACAUUUUAGUGUGGCGUUAUGAAAAAAAGGAGGAUUUUACACAGUUAAGAGUGGUUAUCAAGUGUCCCUUAUUCUCACUCAUCCUAAUUCCCCUUCAAGUUCAUUUGGCUCCGCUAAUUGGUGGUAUCCCUCUUGGCUUUUAACCAUUCCAUCUAAAGUCAAGAUCUUUUUCUGAAGAGCUCUACGCAAUAUACUCCCUACAUCAAAUAAUCUUUUUCAACGAAGGGUAGUGGAUUCCCCACAUUGUCAACGAUGUUACAGUGCUGUUGAGGACACCUUUCAUGUGCUAGUUAGCUGUAAGUUUGCGAUGAAGGUGUGGAAGUUGUCAACUAUGGCUGCUCACGUCACGAAUAGCCCUAAUAUGGAUUUUGCAUUUUUUUUGCUAAGAAUUUGGAAUCUUCGCUGUCAAAAGAGGACUACUAAUCUUUUGUGAUGAUUGCAUGGUCUAUUUGGCACUCUAGGAACAUAGCGCUCUAUCAACAUCAGAUGAUGGAUCCACAAAAUAUUCUUUGUGGCUGAAGCUGUUUUGAAUUCGACACUGCUACUCAAGGCUCCCCAAUUCAAGAGCUAUCGGUCUGUCCAACCGAGACGGAUGUUGGUUGGAUUCCACCAGAGACUCAUUGGUACAAAAUGAACGUUGAUGCAAACACUGACAUCUCUAAUGGAAUUACAAGUUUGGGUGCAAUAAAAAGAAAUUCCAAGGGAGAUUUCAUGGCUGCCUCAGCUCGCAAGAAAUCUUUUCUUGGUGACGUUGAGAUUACAGAUGCUGAGGUUGUCCUACAAUGCAUCAAGCUGGCGACAGAUUCGGACUUCUCUCCCUUGAUUGUCGAAUCUGACUCGGCAAAUGUUGUUCUUGUUGCAAAAAUAGUAUAUCGAUAUGCUACUUCGAUGGCACAUUUUGAGUGGGUUCCACGUAGCGAAUGUGGAAAAUCUUGUGAGGUUUGGAUUCUACUCCAUGAAAACUUCGAAAGUGUAUAUUUAUGUACUUAAAAUGGUGCUUGGCUGAAUGACAAAUUGUCUCUCAAAGUGCACUCUUGAAGUUGAAAAUUUGAAAGGAAAUGAGUUUUAUCCCACAAGGGAAAAUAAGUCAAGGGAUUUGUGUUUAUAUAUACACUUACCCAUGCAUGAGUAAGAAUUAUAAGGAUAGAGGUUUUCUCCACACGCGCAUGCGCCGGGGGAGGGGGUGUUGUAAAUUCUAGACUUAUUUGGUUAAAUUUGUGUGCGUCCGUGCGUCCUGCGCACGCGAAUAUCAGUCCAAAAUCACCCAAACUUGCAUGUCAAACAAGUUUUUAGAAAUUGUAAUACGCCCAUUAAUUAGCGAAAUUGACACUCUCUGUUAUUAACGAUCUUUGUUUGGUUGGAAGACCCUCUCGCAGACAUUGUGGUACACAUGUAAACUUUGUAUUUGUCCAGCAAGGAAAUGUUUUAAAAAAAAUAAAAAUUGUCGACUAUCAAAGGAACCGAUUCACUCUUAAACUUACAGUACACAAUAUUACAUGCCAAAUUAUGACUAAUUAUGCCUAAUGCAUUAAUAUCCUUUCACAACGGUGAAAUCUGAAGGCCCAAAAAUAUUGUCACUUGUUCAAGCCAAAAUAUUGAGGCCAGAUAAGCACCCUAAGGUCAAUAAAUAAUUAACGAAAUCAUACUAGCUUUCUAAUAAAAUCUAUCGAAAGUAAUAUAAAUUGAAAAAUGAUGGAGCACUUUUUAACCCUAAAGGCCUAAACUCAAAUUCACACCUUUAAGAAUGAAUUAAAAUCUAAUUAAAAAAAAGAUUUUAUAAAAAAAGAUUAUAUAAGGAUGAGUUUAUUAGUUGUACAUGGGUGACUUUUUUGAUAAAUAUAGAAAAUAAAUAAUUAAAUAGAGAUAUUUUUGACAUUAGAAUUUUAGUCGGUUUAUGCAGAAUUUUUAAUUUAGUAAAACGUAAAAAAAGAGGCUUAUUUUAUUCCAUCAAAAUUAUCUAAAAACCUCAUUAAAUCAUAAAAAUAACCAUCUUUAAUUGACUUAAUUAAUUAAGUUGUCAUUUAAUUAGAAAAAGAUACACCCCUUAGUUUUUAAUUCAAUUCGUAAUUAAACAGGAUACGUCUCUGUCAUUUGUGCACAAUUAAUAACAAUGCUUAUCCAGAAUCCUUUUAAUCGGCCUUUAAAUUGAAUAAGAAGAUGUUUGGAAGAAUUUUUUUAUCUCUAUCAUAAAUUGUGAGCAAGAAGAGAGGGCAUAUAACAACUAAGAGAAAAUAAGUACAAAGCACGAAAACCAGCUCUGCACUUUUUUCUAGUUCUUUCAGAUUCUGCACUCCGUUUAUUCCCCUCCCAUGUCAUGAAGAGAUGGGUCUUUUUCUCUUCUUCUUUUUUUUUUUUUUCCUAAUAUAAUUUCUAAAAGAAUUUAUGAACAAACAGGUAUUUAUAUGCACAAUUAAUCACGAGUCGCACAAACCAGUGAUUCCUGGCCACGAUCGUGCGAUAUUACGACAUUGCUGAUUUUUUUUCUUUUCUUUUCGUUGUGAGUAAUUAACAUAUAGGGCCCACCAACCACUGCAUCCCGAGAUUGCGUGCCAAAAUCAUGUAAAUUGAUUUUGGAAGUUUCGGAGCUAAGUACGCGUAGCAUUAUUACUGGAGAACAUUCAGCCUUCAAUGCUACGAGAAUUCUCGGGUUGUUGCACAUUGAUUUUGGAAGGUUGGUGCGCAGAAUGCCAUAGAAAAAGCUCACGCAACUCAGGUAAUUAUUUUUCCACGUGGCAGCUACAUGGAAAAUGAACGGGCACAGACUCCUAAAGUGCCACUAAAAUACAGUCGUAAUAGAUUAUACAAGCAAACGAAAGUUUUAAGAAAAAUGAAGUAUCAUUUCCGCAGCCCCUGCACAGAUUAGGGGAACUGCAAAGACAUGCUUUGACAAGAACAAAUCUCGAUUUCAAUCAUUCAGAAUAUUGACAUGCUGCACAAGAAAUUGAAUUCAUAUAUUUUCUGACCAAUGGUGAGUUGCAUCCCAUGGAUGCACUCCAUCAGCAGAACUGUCAACACACCAUGAUAUUUGUAUCCAGAAGACAAACUUUCCUAAAAAACACAACAUCAUUUAGCGAGCCAUUAAUCAGUUGACUGCUGUUAUGACAGCACUUUAUGCACGUAAUCAGAAGUAGACAUAUUUCGUCAAGCAACUCCCAUACAUUGCAUACUACAUGUAAUCCAGUCAAAUGUUUCUACCUCAUUCACAAGGAACAGUUAGGGCGUAUGUACCAAGAGAAGAGCUUUACUUCAGUGCUUCACCACUUCAAACUUGAAGCGGAGGUUGGAAAUCAUAACCGGGCACUCUCCUUUCUCAUCGUACUCGGCAUAGUCCCCUCCUGACAAGUCAAUGUCUUCAUACUGAGUCCCAGCAAGCUACACAAACAACUUACAGUUAGUUCGACAAAGCAAAACCAGAACAAAUAGAAUUUCUUUUUUUGGGGUCAUAGAGAAUUUUUCCUCAUAUUAAUCUCAGAUUAACGAGAUUAAUUUGACUCAUCAUCAUCGCACAAAUAAAAGAUGGCUUUAGUAACAACAAAUGUCUAUGAGGAUAGAAGCAAAAUGUGCAACAAGAAAAAGCAUCAACAGUAAUUAGAAGAAGAUAUAUUGAUGAUGAAUCUUCUUAGCUGCGGCAAAACAUUAACCCAAAAAGUACCAAGUGCAUUUACAGCUGUCUGCAUGGGAAUGAGAUAGUUAGGAGCACAGUAGAAAAAGAGGAGAAACAUGUGUAAUGCAUUCGCCUGUUCUUAUCGAAUGAAUGCAAGUUACACUUCAUCCAGCUCAUCUUUAAUACAGUUAGUAAGCAAAUAGAAUCUUCAAACAAGGUUUCCAUUCCAAAGUCUGCCCACCCUUCGCCAUUCAAGUCAAGAGUAAGCCGAUAGGAGACUGAGAGAGCAAAAAUCUAUUGUCAUGCUCUCCACCUAAAUAGAGAGGCAGAAACCAUAAAGGCUAAACUAGAGCAAAUAAUCAAACAAUAUGCUAACACAUUAAAGAAAAAGCUGGAAAGAAUUUGUAAACUAAAGAGCUCAAUGUUGAAAAUAUUCACAACCGUGAAAUGCAUAAAAAAGGAUAAGAUGUAUCUUAAAUGAAGAUGGUCAUGCAUAAUCAUAAAUACGAACACUCAACUUGCGCUCUGAUAACACAAUGCAGUGCUCACAAGUCAUUUCCAUCCACCACUUGAAAUAUGUCUAAUGUUUAGUGUUCAAAAACUAUGGGGAAAGGGCAAGAAUAGAAACUUACAGAUUCAACUUUCCAUCCAACACCAAAGACGAAAUCCACAGGCUCAUAACCCCUGCAGUCGAAUAACAUCAAGGGGCUAAAACCCCCAGAUUGAGCAGCUUCCUGGGUCAGUGGUUUACCCCGGCCUGGGAUCAUAGUAACAGUUCCUUCUCUCCCACAAAAUUUGCACUGUGAAGAAAGAUAUGGAGCCAGAAAAUCACCAACAACCAGAACACAGUCAUUUUAUAAAUAGAGUGAAAAAGUUUCAUCUGUAAUAUGUCACAGCAACACUUGAAAAUACAGACAAUAUGUCACGGUCAUUUAUACUACAAGUCUCUAACAGAUUAAUCUACCCAAGAAACUUGAAAAUAUGCAAGAAAUCCAUAGUACCAGAUCCUCAUUCCCACACCUUCAAAGUAAUUACUCAAGCUCAACCAAAGAAACUUAAUAAUUCUUUUUCCAUUCUAAAUCCAAGGCAUCAAAAAGCAUAUAUAGGUCAUUGAACAGAAAAAAAAUACAAUUUAUACUAGAAGUCCCAAGAAAAACUAUAUCUUGAAAGCUUGUCGCAUGCAAGCAAUUUUUACAAGAUAUCAAAAGAGCUGAAGAAUUACAUUCAAAUCAUAAAAAGAAAAGCUCUGAAGUUCACAAAGAAUCAUGAGGAUACAUUAUAGAGUUAUGUUCUAUCAUGAUUCCAUGAACUCGUUCACAACAACAGUAACAGAAAGGCCUUGGUUUUAAGUCCAAGAAAUUGAUUUGUUACACUAUGCUACUGCUAAACAUCUCCAGUUUGACUACAAACAAUAAUAUACAUCUAAGCUCAAAUGGCACCAAUUUUAACUAGCUUGAUGAAUAUAUAUAUUCAAUUAGGGAUCUCUGGUUGUAUUAAAGUUGGGAAUAAGCUAACAGACAAAAAAAAAACAGACUCCAGUGCAGUGUAUUUUGUUCCGUAUUGUGUUGAAAUUUGUGUUUUCUGUCAUUUAACUUAUCCCUAACGUUAAUAUGAUCAGGGAUCCCUGAUAGAAAACUCUCUCUCUCUCUCUCUCUCUCUCUCUCUAUAUAUAUAUAUAUAUAUAUAUAGAUAUAUGUGUGUGUGUGCGCGCGCAAUAGUGAUGUACUGCAACCUAUUUUAAUCUCCACUGCAAGUGUAUAUUACUUGAAACAAUUUACAUUAGCAAUAUCUGGUACAAGUAUCAUGACUACAGACCAUCUAAUUGCAUCAUUUAUCUAAAGAUAAAUGAUUAAAUGAAAUAUGUAACUUCACUAAACUAAGCCUGAGGUACCAGUAUAACAGCUUUUCCUUCACAGUUUGAUCAUUUGGUUAGAGCAUAUAUCUAUUUAAAGUCCUCGCAAUAAGACAAACAAGAUCACUCACAUUUUAAUACAUACACAAAGAGAGGAAGAGAGAGAGGUAUUACUUUUUGAAUGAGAUUUGUGGUUCCCUUGCCUCCUUGAGUAGGAAGAGUUUCAGCCAAGCUC